Molecule: unclassified non-coding RNA, 125 nt
Filed under: uncultured Dioszegia
Lineage: Eukaryota; Fungi; Basidiomycota; Tremellomycetes; Tremellales; Bulleribasidiaceae
Description: sequence contains ITS2
Source: RNAcentral
UAAACCUCACCUCUAUAGUUUUCUAUAGUUGUGCUUUGGGUGUCUGCCAUUCGUGGCUCGCCUUAAAUGUCUAAGUGGAAUGCGUAAUAAGUUCUCGCAACCCUCCACUCUAACUACACUUUAUA